UGGGGAAUCUUGCGCAAUGGGCGAAAGCCUGACGCAGCCAUGCCGCGUGAGUGAUGAAGGCCUUAGGGUUGUAAAACUCUUUCACCGGGGACGAUAAUGACGGUACCCGGAGAAGAAGCCCCGGCUAACUUCGUGCCAGCAGCCGCGGUAAUACGAAGGGGGCUAGCGUUGCUCGGAAUUACUGGGCGUAAAGGGCGCGUAGGCGGAUCAGCAAGUUGGGGGUGAAAGCCCGGGGCUCAACCUCGGAAUUGCCUUCAAAACUGCUGAUCUAGAGUACGGGAGAGGUGUGUGGAACUCCGAGUGUAGAGGUGAAAUUCGUAGAUAUUCGGAAGAACACCAGUGGCGAAGGCGACACACUGGCCCGUUACUGACGCUGAGGCGCGAAAGCGUGGGGAGCAAACAGGAUUAGAUACCCUGGUAGUCCACGCUGUAAACGAUGAUUGCUAGUUGUCGGCAGGCAUGCCUGUCGGUGACGCAGCUAACGCAUUAAGCAAUCCGCCUGGGGAGUACGGUCGCAAGAUUAAAACUC
This 529-nucleotide ribosomal RNA is filed under the name uncultured bacterium. Its description in RNAcentral is "partial 16S ribosomal RNA". It matches the Rfam family "Bacterial small subunit ribosomal RNA", at positions 355 to 902 of the family's 1533-position model. The record is from RNAcentral.